GGGGAAUAUUGCGCAAUGGGGGAAACCCUGACGCAGCAACGCCGCGUGAAGGAAGAAGGUCUUCGGAUUGUAAACUUCUUUGAUGAGGGAAGAAAAAAAUGACGGUACCUCAAAAACAAGCCACGGCUAACUACGUGCCAGCAGCCGCGGUAAUACGUAGGUGGCGAGCGUUGUCCGGAAUUACUGGGUGUAAAGGGCGUGUAGGCGGGAUUGCAAGUCAGAUGUGAAAUUCCGGGGCUUAACCUCGGCGCUGCAUCUGAAACUGUGGUUCUUGAGUGCUGGAGAGGAUAGUGGUAUUCCUAGUGUAGCGGUGAAAUGCGUAGAUAUUAGGAGGAACACCAGUGGCGAAGGCGACUAUCUGGACAGUAACUGACGCUGAGGCGCGAAAGCGUGGGGAGCAAAC
RNAcentral lists this ribosomal RNA (403 nucleotides) under uncultured bacterium. RNAcentral describes it as "bacterial SSU rRNA". It matches the Rfam family "Bacterial small subunit ribosomal RNA", at positions 356 to 773 of the family's 1533-position model. The record is from RNAcentral.